UCUGGAGGAGGAAUUUCAGGCAGAAAAAUGGGGCGGAGGAAUUGCUGAUUGCCGUAGCGCUGGAACCCACCACCUUACCGUCAAUCCUUCACUGCCACCAGCAGAUUUUCACCCAGGAAAUGAGAUUCAUUCGAGCAGAAACUAGCUACAAUUUUGUGUGCCCGUUUGGUAUUCGAUGAAAUACCCGACUGAAUGUUAUGCCCGGAAAAUGACUGGUCUGCGUUUGUGCAUGUGAAGAAACAAAUGGACAGCAAUUUCAAUGCUUUUCAGAACAUAAUAGUUGAUUUCAAGGGUAGAAAGAAGAAUUUUGAUCCUGAUAUGUUAGCAUGCGACACUGUCUUUGUUUUCCGUUUCUGGUUCUGCCUUUUCCCUUUGUAUGGAUAUGAAUUAAUGGCCUGAAAUUUGUAUAAGAGGGAGCUUGCGAAUUGCACCUUGGAGAGUUGUCGGAAUAGAAUUUUCUGGUAUUCACGCGUAGACAAAGCAAGAUGAAAACAGCCGGAUGCUGGGACUUGUUUUGGAGAAGACGAUUGUUUGUACAAGUUCUGCGAUUUCAGUCCCCCCAUUUCCCAUUUCUUUGUAAUUUAACCCCAAAGAAGUCUCGGAACUUCAUAUUUGCCCCCAAAGCUAUUGUAAUUCCUUCAAUUGGAUCCCUGUUUUGUUGCAUAUGAACCCCUCGAGUUCCCCCCUGUUCUGAUGUGACCCCAAAAAUUGGAAAAGCUGAACUAAUUUCAUUCUUUUGAGCUUAGUCCUCUGUUUGCAUA
Molecule: non-coding RNA, 761 nt
Organism: Coffea arabica (coffee)
Lineage: Eukaryota; Viridiplantae; Streptophyta; Magnoliopsida; Gentianales; Rubiaceae
Source: RefSeq, a predicted model, not a curated record